This 272-nucleotide unclassified non-coding RNA is filed under the name Hevea brasiliensis (rubber tree). The record is from RNAcentral. Lineage: Eukaryota; Viridiplantae; Streptophyta; Magnoliopsida; Malpighiales; Euphorbiaceae.
AGAAAUCAAGAAAUGGGAACUGCAAGUGUUGAGGAGUCUAAGAAACGCCCUCUUGUAUUUGCUUAUUACGUUACUGGGCAUGGCUUUGGACAUGCCACUCGAGUUGUUGAGGUCGCUAGAAAUCUCAUCCUAGCUGGGCAUGAUGUUCAUGUCGUCACUGGUGCACCUGCCUUUGUCUUUACAUCCGAGAUACAAUCUCCUAGACUAUUUCUUCGCAAGGUAUUGUUAGAUUGUGGAGCAGUUCAAGCUGAUGCAUUGACAGUGGAUCGUCU